RNAcentral lists this long non-coding RNA (1458 nucleotides) under Solanum lycopersicum (tomato). RNAcentral describes it as "long non-coding RNA (SLYC_LNC000524)". Lineage: Eukaryota; Viridiplantae; Streptophyta; Magnoliopsida; Solanales; Solanaceae. The record is from RNAcentral.
CAACACAAUGAUCAAAAUCAUAAACAUAAACAACAAAGUUUAAUACAUGUACUCAAAAAUAAAAAGUAAUAACAUAAGCAUAAAUUAGUGAUUGUAUUAAACAUACCAGGAUCUGUAAUAAUAAAAUGAAACAUGAAGGAAAAAAUCGAGCCCCCUGAUUUGACAUUGUCCCCUUAAGGAAAUUUUCCCAUUCUAGUACCCGAUGUUUAAAGGAAUAGAUCCUCUCUGGACAAAAUGAUUCUAUUCUGUAGUGUGUUAGUACAAAACAAUGAUGUCAGUGAGACACUCAGCAGGAGCAAAAUGCAUAAAUUUUUGUUGUUUUAAAAUUAGAGGAAGUCCCUCUAUUUAUAGACUACAAAGGGUAGCUUGAAUAAAUAUUUAUUGUGUCUUAUCGGAAAGGACACAACUCUUUGGACAAGUCACAAUUUUUCAUUAAAGUUACAACCCUUCAUUAAAGUCGCAACUCUUCAUUAAAGUUGCAACUCUUCAUUAAAGUUGUAAAUCUUUAUAAAAAAGUUGCAACUCUUCGUAAAAGUCACAACUUUUUUUUACAAGUCGUAACUUUUCAUAGAACUUUUUUUUAUAAAAAUCACAACUUUUCAUGAAAGGGAAGACUAAUUUUGUGAAUAAAUAAGUUAAAGGGGAAUUCUGAUUUGUAGUGGUGCCACAUAGACGGGCCUAGGGAGUAAACCUUUCACUAACACUUUAUCAUAAUCAUGAGAAGCUACUUUAAAUCAUAUAAUAAUAAUAUCAUAACAUACUUGCAUUCUUAAUUAACCAAUUCGGUAGUCUAGGGUUAAGGAUGAGGAAUACUUGCUAUCAACAUUACAACCACACAAUAGACAUAGAAGCAUUACAAUCUAAGUAACUCAUACUUUAUAAUUGAAUUCAAGAAAAAUAAAUCUUCAUACCUUCUUGCCUUUUCAUUGCCUUCAUACUUCGAUAACAAAGAAUACAUAAACAAUUCAUAAUCAAGGUAAAUUCAAGAAUCAAUCACAUAAUUAACAUCAAUUUAGUCAAUCAACAUAUUUAUCACGUCCACAAUUCACCAUAGCAAUUCAAAGUUUUCAUGAGAUUGGGGAUAGACAUGGGUCCAUAGGAAUCUUGAGUGAAUAACAAGAUUUAACCACUAAUGUAUACUUAAAAAUAUUACUUGACCAUAAUUCAUCACAAUUGAUUCCUAAUUUCGUUUUUCAAAGAAGACCCAUGUGUAAAGAAAAAUCCUAGUUUGGGGAAGUUUGAAAAUCUCUUUGAAAGGACCUCUUGGGGAAAGGAAUCCCAGGAGUGAAAGAAAUCAUACCUUAACCAAGGCUUUAGCCUCCAGUUUGAGUGAAGAACUUGAGAAUUUGAUCUUCUUCUUCAAGCUUCAAAGUUUCUUCAAUGGAGGUUGAGUAGAGAGAGAAAGUAGAGAGAAGGGAGAGCUUUUGGAUUUUGAUUUGGGGAUUUGAUUCGAGUGGA